RNAcentral lists this transfer RNA (67 nucleotides) under Microtermes sp. B TB-2017. RNAcentral's name for it is "tRNA-Leu". The record is from RNAcentral. Lineage: Eukaryota; Metazoa; Arthropoda; Insecta; Blattodea; Termitidae.
GCUAUUUUGGCAGAUAAGUGCAUUGGAUUUAGAAUCUUUUAAUGUAAAUUUUCAUUUACAGGUAGUA